UACGUAGGGACCGAGCGUUGUCCGGAUUCAUUGGGCGUAAAGAGCUCGUAGGCGGCUGCUCAAGUCGAAUGUGAAAACUCGAGGCUCAACCUCGAGCCUGCAUUCGAUACUGGGCGGCUAGAGUCUGGUAGGGGGAUCUGGAAUUCCUGGUGUAGCGGUGGAAUGCGCAGAUAUCAGGAGGAACACCGGUGGCGAAGGCGGGAUCCUGGGCCAGUACUGACGCUGAGGAGCGAAAGCGUGGGUAGCAAACAGG
RNAcentral lists this ribosomal RNA (253 nucleotides) under uncultured bacterium. Its description in RNAcentral is "partial 16S ribosomal RNA". It matches the Rfam family "Bacterial small subunit ribosomal RNA", at positions 524 to 776 of the family's 1533-position model. The record is from RNAcentral.